Long non-coding RNA from Rhododendron vialii, 5044 nucleotides. RefSeq lists it as uncharacterized. The transcript is spliced from 2 exons. NCBI's taxonomy places the organism in Eukaryota, Viridiplantae, Streptophyta, Magnoliopsida, Ericales, Ericaceae. The record is from RefSeq and is a predicted model, not a curated record.
AUGGUAGUUUGAACGGAGAUUCCUUUCAUGGUAUAUUCUCUUCCCCACAUUUUUGUUGGAAAUUUUUCAGGAAAAUCGGAUGAAUAAAAUCGAGGCAUACGGUGGGUCUCUCGAGGCAACCGAUAGGCCUCUAUUUGGUUCAACGAAUCUGGACGUGUACUAAGACCAGGAGUUACAAUAUGGUUUACUCCUCCCCAUUAUGAGGUUAAUGGCAGAUUUGAAUUCUCAAAUUCAUUGCGGGAGUUGCAUGAAAUUCAAUUCCCGAAUUCAUUAUAGGAGGUUUUCUUCCUUUAUAUUGGUGUAUCAUGUUUUGGUAGAAGAACUAGAGAUUCAUAUUGCUCCAUUUUACUCUGUAUAUUGUUCUUGUGAGAGAGAGACAGACGGCUGUUCAGUUCACCAAGGCAGUCGACGGUGGUGUUCCGACGGCUUGCGGUUUAGCCGAGCCAACUCUGGGAGAAAGACGCCAACACAUCCUACAACACUCACGGUAGGCGGCGAAUCUUUCUUAAGGAGACUGUGGUACCACACAGGACUCGGUUCUUGAUCCGAAAAUUCUGUUUGUAUCUCGUACUUACGAUUUGUCUACUGUUAUAUAUUUUGUAACUUGAUUCGUUCAUGUAAUCAUGUUGUUAUCAAUGAGAAUGUUCUCUGGAAUUUCUGUUAUUGCCGAAUUCUUCCCAACAAACUCAAGAAAGAUUCGGAUCUCCAAUCGGCAAAGAAUUCCAGAAAACAGUUUCUAUUAUGAACUAAUAUUUGGGUUGCAAGAACUGAUUCAUGGCAGAUUGAUUAUCCAAUUCAUUCGCCGCUGUCACGAGUUGGUGACUCUCAGUUCACCCACAUGCAGGUCAUGCACGCCAAAUCUUUAUAUACGGUAUCUGUAUAACUGUAGUGAUAGUUGGUUACUUUUGGGUUGUGGCAGUGCAUGUUUACAAUAUUGGUAAUGAUGAUCAUGAUAUGCAAGUAAACGGUGCUAGUUGGUUUUGGACUAACGUACUCUUUGAUGCAGUGGAGUUUUUCCUUUUCUUUAAUUAGACAAGGUACUUUCUUUGGGAACUCUACUGAUUUGGUUUAAGAGCACGUAAGAUACAUGCAGUUAUUUUCCCAUAUAAAUUUAAAAGUUGUGGUUUAUACUAUGGGUUAAUAGUUUUCGUUUCACGGACUUGUGGAAAGAAGUCUCUGUGGUUUCUAUGAUCAGUAGUAGUUUUCUCGAACGGAGAAAAACAGCCCGAUAGUUCUGUUCAUUUGGCAAUUAUAUUCCUAUAAAGAACAGUUUCGGUUUUGUGGCCUAAUGAUGAGUCACUGACGUAUUUGUAAUUUGCGUCUGGUAUUAGAGUAUUAUUCUAAGGUACCUCUGCACAUGUGACGGCCAAUUUGACUUUGUUACUUGGCUUGAUAUUUGACUAUUGGACUAAUGCUCUGAGAAUUCUAGUUAUCCUGGUUACGAAUUAUGAACCCGGUUAAGUUUGACAUUACAGUUUGCUUAAUGGGUGUUGUGCGUUAACAGGAUCAGUAAUCAAGCCAGUUUCGGGUUGCUUGGGAAAAUGUUUGUUUUCCCAUUUUGUGUUUGAUCUCGGUUUGGAGGACUAAAACUUAUUCUUUUUAGAAUAAUUUAAUUUAAUCCAUAUUUGGGCAUAACUUUUGUGGAUGGAAAUUUUGGUGAUUGGUUCCACAGGAUGGUGGAUAGCAUGCGGUUGGUCGGUGUUCAUGAUUGAAGGAUGGUACACACCUAGCAUGGUGGAGUCUCACUUGUGUGCGAGAUUAGAGUAAUCUGCUUGGCUUUGGCCUUAAUAGUAGAUUGCUUUAUGGAUGCUGAAAGGAAAAAAAAAAAAAAAAACCAGUUUGGCUUCGGCCUCAAAUAGUCGUGUGCGACUGGGUCUUGUAUGGGUUUUGUGAAAAUUAUUGGGCUAUGGCCUCGGCCAGUCAAGUGCGACUCGACCUCGGAUCAGUUUGUGUUAAAACUGUUUGGCUUCAGCCUCGAUUAGUCGUGCGCGACUCAAUCAUGGAUGUUGAUAACAGAUAGGCUACGGCCUUGGUAAGUCGUGCGCGACAUGACCUCAAAUCAAUAGUUUAUACGGUUUUUGGGCUGGUCUACUCCGCUUGGACCAUACCUGGUCAUUCUGGAUUUGUUUCGAAAAAUAAGUUCUUGUUUUCGGACAAAAGCAGAUUGGGAUUACUCAACCAUUAACAAUACUAUUAAUAUCCCACGUUUGUGUAUUGGUGGUGCAUUGUAUAUUCUUAAAAAUUGAAGUUUUUAAGAAUUGGGUUUAUGGCUCUUAAUGAUGGCUGGAGUUACUAGUCAGAAAUGGAUUUUGAUAGUGCAACCUAUGCACGUGGUUUUUUUUUUAGCUUUCUGUUUCAAUUGGUUUUGUCCUUUUCUUGUCUGUUAGUAAGGUCUAUUUUUCCAUUGGGAAAAAAAAGAAAAGAAAAGAAAAGAAAAACAUAGUAUAUGUUAUUUAUUAAUGCAAAGCCAAAAACUUUGGAGUACACACUUUUUGUUUAGCAUAAAUAUCAGUCACUUAUGCUAUGUUGUGAAUAAUAGAUUCUAUGAUUCUAUGUUAAUAUGUGAAUUCAGUAAGGUUUUCCACGUGUAAAUGGGAAAUAUGGAGAUAUUUGUACAGGCUUGAACUUUUAUAUAGUUCAGGAAACUGGUCGCAUUUGGCAUCUUUGCACAUUAUAUGCAUAUAUGUUGUUGGAGAUCUCAAAUGGUUCUUACAAUGGGAAUACUUGUGAUGGUAUUGUCCCAAGUGGUUUGACUACAACUGUCUGGUGCGCCAACAGUGGUUCUUACGGAACAUGUUCCUCUCGUUUGGGAAAAUGAGCAGGACGGGCAAGUGGUUGCCGUUGUAAGGUUCAAGUGACAAGGAAUUCUUAGGUUCAAUGAGACUAUUUUUCACGAGUAGCCGAGAAUGAUCACUGAGGAGACUCUGUCUCCUGCCCAUUCCUAUGGUGUAGAACAGUGAUACCUGCAAAUGAAAAGAGGUUAAGCAUUGCUUUUAAUGACUCCUAUGCGCUAGAUUUCCAGGCGGGGUAUAACAGGAUACUCUUUAUAGGAAGGUCACCUAUGUAAGUAUGAAGUAGGGUCGCUUCUUUGAGAAUUGUGGCGAAAUUCUCGAGAAAAUACUCGCAGAACCAGGAAGGGGGUGUCAUGGCCAAAAUGAACCCAAUAGUGAGAACUAAACUACGUCAGGAGAAGUCCUGUGUGACGUCUGUUGUCUCAGUUUACAUCGGCGGUGGAACAGUUCAAAGCGGGACCGCACACUGGUCUGCUAAUAGACCCGAUAGGCUAUCACAACGGAAGGUUCCAGGCCAAAAGCCACCUAUCCUAUGCAGGGAUUAUCCGUUGUCUCUCUCUCGAAUCAGCUUUGUACUCUGCGUCAGUUUGUCUGCCAAUUUCAUUCAUGGGGGGGAUUGUUGAAAAUUUUCCAGGAAAAUCGGAUGAAUAAAAUCGAGGCAUACGGAGGGUCUUUCGAGGCAACCGAUAGGCCUCUAUUUGGUUCAAUGAAUCUAGACGUGUACUAAGACCAGGAGUUACAACAUGGUUUACUCCUCCCCAUUAUGAGGUUAAUGGCAGAUUUGAAAUUUGAAAUUCAUUGCGGGAGUUACAUGAAAUUCAAUUUCCGAAUUCAUUAUAGGAGGUUUUCUUCCUUUAUAUUGGUGUAUCAUGUUUUGGUAGAAGAACUAGAGAUUCAUAUUGCUCCAUUUUACUCUGUAUAUUGUUCUUGUGAGAGAGAGACAGACGGCUGUUCAGUUCGCCAAGGCAAUCGACAGUGGUGUUCCAACGGCUUGCGGUUUAGCCGAGCCAAUCCUGGGAGAAAGACGCCAACACAUCCUACAACACCCACGGUAGGCGGCGAAUCUUUCUUAAGGAGACUAUGGUGUCACACAGGACUCGGUUCUUGAUCCGAAAAUUCUGUUUGUAUCUCGUACUUACGAUUUGUCUACUAUUAUGUAUUUUGUAACUUGAUUCGUUCAUGUAAUCAUGUUGUUAUCAAUGAGAAUGUUCUCUGGAAUUUCUGUUAUUGCCGAAUUCUUCCCAACAAUUUUUCCCUUCUCGCACCAAGUAUUGACUUAAUUGAUACUCCUACUUUUAAAUUUUCCUUUUUAGCUUUUCCCUUGAGCAUUGGCCAAAGUCACCACGAAUAUUUCUUGCUAUCCGAAAUAAGAUGUCUGGUAGAAAAAUUUGUUCUUGUGCAUAGUUCUCCUUUUGAUCAUAUAUUCCUUCUAGAUAAAAAUUCCUAUGGUCAGCUAAUUUGUUUGGGUUCAGGAAAUCUUUUUUUUUUUUGGGUAGGAUUUGAUGACAUGGAAUAUAAGUUGCCAGCACAAUAAGGAAUACAAAGUUAUCAAGAAUGAUUCUGUUGCUGACUUAAAGUCUAUGCUUAUGCCGGAUCAUGCGUGACCUCGUUUCUUUCUCUUUAUGCUACAUUACGUUAUGAGUUCAGUAAUUCUCUCUGCAAAAUCACCCUCACCCAACAAUCCAAACCCACGCUUGUUGAAUCGGCCCACUUUACCUUCCUUCGUUCCCCUGCUUUCCCUUCCCUGUUUUCUUUUACAGGUUUGCAACACGUUCUAGCUUGCCCUUGUUUUAUCUCAGCUGAUGGGAACAUGUAAAUUUUAAAGAGUGAUUAUAAAUAAAAUGGUCAUCAGUAUUCCAUUCAUGCGCUGGGUUCCUGUACAAAACCCAUGGCCAAAACUCAAACAAAAACACGCUACUACCUAGAACCUACUAAGGGUGACCGAGUGAUUGCUACAGUUGCAGUGCAUGCUCAAGGAGAUCAAAUUGUAUACCAGUCGUGUCUUACUUUCAUGCAGCAAUAUCAAAAUAUAUUACCAUUGGGUCACAUUUGUGUCUGGAAUUCAAGCUUCCGGCUACACACAUGGUUAGAUGAUAUUGUCUACUAUUCAUUUCUUCGCUGUAGCACUCAGGGUAAGGGCAAAAUGUCCACCUAUUAUUUACUUUAUUGCUUCGCACUAUUAUGUUUGUGAACCAAACACUUUUAUUCUGUUUCCUCUGAUCAUUUUGGCCAUUCAAUUGUUGCUUUCUUUA